RNAcentral lists this ribosomal RNA (497 nucleotides) under uncultured bacterium. Its description in RNAcentral is "partial 16S ribosomal RNA". It matches the Rfam family "Bacterial small subunit ribosomal RNA", at positions 28 to 507 of the family's 1533-position model. The record is from RNAcentral.
GAUGAACGCUGGCGGCGUGCCUAAUACAUGCAAGUCGAGCGAACAGACGGGGAGCUUGCUCCUCUGACGUUAGCGGCGGACGGGUGAGUAACACGUGGAUAACCUACCUAUAAGACUGGGAUAACUUCGGGAAACCGGAGCUAAUACCGGAUAAUAUAUUGAACCGCAUGGUUCAAUAGUGAAAGACGGUUUUGCUGUCACUUAUAGAUGGAUCCGCGCCGCAUUAGCUAGUUGGUAAGGUAACGGCUUACCAAGGCAACGAUGCGUAGCCGACCUGAGAGGGUGAUCGGCCACACUGGAACUGAGACACGGUCCAGACUCCUACGGGAGGCAGCAGUAGGGAAUCUUCCGCAAUGGGCGAAAGCCUGACGGAGCAACGCCGCGUGAGUGAUGAAGGUCUUCGGAUCGUAAAACUCUGUUAUCAGGGAAGAACAAAUGUGUAAGUAACUAUGCACGUCUUGACGGUACCUAAUCAGAAAGCCACGGCUAACUACGUG